Molecule: transfer RNA, 85 nt
Filed under: Felis catus (domestic cat)
Lineage: Eukaryota; Metazoa; Chordata; Mammalia; Carnivora; Felidae
Rfam family: tRNA
About the family: Transfer RNA (tRNA) molecules are approximately 80 nucleotides in length. Their secondary structure includes four short double-helical elements and three loops (D, anti-codon, and T loops).
Source: Rfam by way of RNAcentral
ACCUGGGUGGCUCAGUUGGUUGAGCAUCUGACUGCGGGUCAGGUCAUGGUCUCAUGGUCUGUGGGUUCGAGUCCUGCGUCGGGUU